GCAAUAGCUCAGUGGCAGAAUAUCUGCUUUACACGCAGAACAUCAUAGGUUCAAUCCUCAGUAUCUCCA
RNAcentral lists this transfer RNA (69 nucleotides) under Sphaerodactylus townsendi. Its description in RNAcentral is "tRNA-Val". The record is from RNAcentral. Lineage: Eukaryota; Metazoa; Chordata; Lepidosauria; Squamata; Sphaerodactylidae.